UGCAAGUCCAUUGACGUAGUUGACCCCAUCUUAUUCCUGAAGCUGCUCGAUAUACUUGAAGUUCUUUAAAAUAAUACUCUUUGUCCGUUCGAAAACUUAAAUCACAAAGCCAUACUAGCCUGUUGUGAAACAAUGAUUCGUCAAAAUCAACAGUCCAAUUAGAAUUGAAGUCUGUUAAUUUUUGGGUUCCGGUAUACUCGCUAUAAGUACUACGACAAAGAUAGUACAGAGGAAUACCAGAAGGUCCAGAACUGAGUUGGUUAUUAACUAUUAUACGAUUCUUUUCAUGAGCUUCAUCCAACCCGACAAACAAGAAAAAAAUUAACAAAAAAACUAUAGGAUGAUCCAUUUUUUAUUUUGUAUAGA
This 366-nucleotide long non-coding RNA is filed under the name Eutrema salsugineum. RNAcentral describes it as "long non-coding RNA (ESAL_LNC001487)". Lineage: Eukaryota; Viridiplantae; Streptophyta; Magnoliopsida; Brassicales; Brassicaceae. The record is from RNAcentral.